GAUCUUCCCAGCGGCGUCCAAGGCCCCUAUAUUAUCGGUGCCGUCGCAAGACGGAUAUGGCGAUAAACGGCCAUCGCAAUAAACCUUUCGGACCCGGGGGCGGUACCCGGCGCCUCCACCAAAGGGCAGCGGCUUCGUAUUUCGAGCGCGCGGCUGUCUUUCGGCGGGGGCGAAAUAGGAUCGACGAGGGUGUAAAGGGUGGACUUUUGCUCGGCAUGGUUCCGCCGUUAUCGGGCCGAACUUAUAGUUGCCAACGACAACUAUGCUCCGGUUGCCCAGGCUGCGUAACGCAGUUUAGGUACCCGAUUUAAAGUCCCGGCGGUUAGCCCCGUCGGGCGGGGUUCGGAGGCACCUGGCAACAGAAGCCUCCACU
Molecule: transfer-messenger RNA, 373 nt
Filed under: Chelatococcus sp.
Lineage: Bacteria; Pseudomonadati; Pseudomonadota; Alphaproteobacteria; Hyphomicrobiales; Chelatococcaceae
Also listed under: 1 other name
Rfam family: Alphaproteobacteria transfer-messenger RNA
About the family: Bacterial tmRNA, also known as 10Sa RNA or SsrA, is named for its dual tRNA and mRNA-like properties. Its role is to liberate the mRNA from a stalled ribosome.
Source: RNAcentral